AUCAUGGCUCAGAUUGAACGCUGGCGGCAUGCCUUACACAUGCAAGUCGAACGGCAGCACGGGAGCUUGCUCCUGGUGGCGAGUGGCGAACGGGUGAGUAAUACAUCGGAACGUACCCUGAAGUGGGGGAUAACGUAGCGAAAGUUACGCUAAUACCGCAUAUUCUGUGAGCAGGAAAGAGGGGGGAUCGCAAGACCUCUUGCUUUAGGAGCGGCCGAUGUCGGAUUAGCUAGUUGGUGAGGUAAAGGCUCACCAAGGCGACGAUCCGUAGCGGGUCUGAGAGGAUGAUCCGCCACACUGGGACUGAGACACGGCCCAGACUCCUACGGGAGGCAGCAGUGGGGAAUUUUGGACAAUGGGCGCAAGCCUGAUCCAGCCAUGCCGCGUGAGUGAAGAAGGCCUUCGGGUUGUAAAGCUCCUUCGGUGGGGAAGAAAUUGCACAGGAUAAUACCUUGUGUAGAUGACGGUACCCGCAUAAGAAGCACCGGCUAACUACGUG
This 499-nucleotide ribosomal RNA is filed under the name uncultured bacterium. RNAcentral's name for it is "bacterial SSU rRNA". It matches the Rfam family "Bacterial small subunit ribosomal RNA", at positions 16 to 507 of the family's 1533-position model. The record is from RNAcentral.